This 1470-nucleotide unclassified non-coding RNA is filed under the name Harpegnathos saltator (Jerdon's jumping ant). Its description in RNAcentral is "fatty acyl-CoA reductase 1-like, transcript variant X1". The record is from RNAcentral. Lineage: Eukaryota; Metazoa; Arthropoda; Insecta; Hymenoptera; Formicidae.
CUUAGCUGUUGUAACUCGUGUAUCCACAACCUUCUCAACUCAUCUAUUGAUUAUCAUUUGAUAAAAUUCGCAAACUUUACCACAUAAAACACCACAUAAAAAUUCCCUUACGCUUCAAUUAAUAAGUUCUUUCUAGUGAUUAUUACAUUUGGCAUUUUCAUCCUUAAAAUCACAAUGGAUUCGCUGUGUUCGAUACCGGCCUUCUAUUCCGGAAAAAGCGUUUUCAUUACUGGUGCUACGGGGUUUUUAGGAAAAUCAUUAAUAGAAAAACUGUUGAGGUCGUGUCCUGAUAUAAAAGAGAUAUUUCUGUUAAUGCGCCCGAAGAAAGACGUGAAUAUAGAAGAACGCCUCCGAAAGCUGCUGACCAACCCGUUGUUUCAUACAUUGCGGCGUGAGCAACCCCAUUGUUUCGACAAAUUGAUUCCCGUAAAAGGUGACAUUGCUAUUGAGAAUCUGGAUUUGUCAGACACCGAUAGAAACAUGCUAAUCCAGAAGACGUCUGUAAUAUUCCAUAUAGCGGCGAACGUGAGAUUCGAUAUUACUCUGAGAAUGUCGGUGCUCCAGAACGUAAAAGCUACAAGAGAUAUAUGUAUUUUAGGUGAACAUAUGAAGAAUCUAGUGGCUCUCGUAUAUGUCAGCACGGUAUACUCACAACUCGACAAACACGUUAUUGAUGAAAUCGUGUAUCCAGCGGAAGUCGAUUGGAAGAAAAUGAUUCAAGUCGUCGAGACUUUGGACGAACAACUGUUGGAAGUGUUUAAGUCAAAGUACACGGGCUGUAUGCCGAAUAGCUACGUAUUUUCCAAGAAACUCGCCGAGCAAGUGAUAGUCGAUUACUCUGAGUCGUUGCCGUGUGUAAUUUUGAGGCCAUCCAUAGUUGUAGCAACGUUGAGCGAACCGGUAAAAGGAUGGAUGGACAAUUUUAAUGGACCGGUAGCACUUUUCAUCGGCGUUGGAAAAGGACUAUUAAAGUUAAUAUAUGCAGAUAAAAACAUACAGAAUAACUUCGUACCGGUUGAUACCUUCAGCAAAUCUGCCAUUGUUGCAUCAUGGAAAUGUGGAGUGAGAAAGACAAACAUGAGGAUCAAUCUUCCACUUGUAUACAAUUGCGUGACAUCUCAUUAUAUAUGUCCAAAAUAUGAAGACCUAGUAAGUUUCUGCCUGAAUUGUCUAAAAAGAAUUCCUGUGGAAAAUCCACUUUGGUAUCCUCAAGUGUAUUCAUAAAGAACCUGUACAUCUACAACCUAUUGUUUAUAUUGUUCCAAAUAAUACCUUUCUGGUUCAUUGAUGAGCUCCUACGAUUAUCAGGCAGACAACCAAGGUUGAUGGCAUUGCAGAGGAAAAUUUUUAUAAAUAAUUGCAUUUUGGCACAUUUCACACUAAACAAUUGGGAUAUACGAAAUGAAAGUGCGAUAAGUCUGUCUGAUGAAAUACUAAACGAUCAACAAGAAUUUGAAUAUGGAACGGUCC